GGACGAACGCUGGCGGCGUAGCCUAACACGAUGCAAGUCGAGCGAGGAGAUCCUCGGGAUGAUCCUAGCGGCGGACGGGUGAGUAACACGUGGGCAACCUGCCUCAUAGAGAGGAAUAGCCUUCCGAAAGGGAGAUUAAUACCUCAUAACAUUGCAGUUUCGCAUGGAACAGCAAUUAAAGGAGCAAUCCGCUAUGAGAUGGGCCCGCGGCGCAUUAGGCUAGUUGGUGAGGUAACGGCUCACCAAGGCGACGAUGCGUAGCCGACCUGAGAGGGUGAUCGGCCACAUUGGGACUGAGACACGGCCCAGACUCCUACGGGAGGCAGCAGUGGGGAAUAUUGCACAAUGGGGGGAAAACCCUGAUGCAGCCUAACGCCGCGUGAGUGAUGACGGCCUUCGGGUUGUAAAGCUCUGUCUUCAGGGACGAUAAUGACGGUACCUGAGGAGGAAGCCACGGCUAACUACGUGCCAGCAGCAGC
This 479-nucleotide ribosomal RNA is filed under the name uncultured bacterium. Its description in RNAcentral is "bacterial SSU rRNA". It matches the Rfam family "Bacterial small subunit ribosomal RNA", at positions 27 to 518 of the family's 1533-position model. The record is from RNAcentral.